CCUAAGACAUGCAGUCGAACGGUAACGACACUAGCUUGCUAGUGGGCGACGAGCGGUUGACGGGUGAGUAACGCGUAGGAAUCUACCUAGUAGUGGGGGAUAGCCAAGGGAAACUUUGGGUAAUACCGCAUACGAUCUACGGAUGAAAGGGGGCCUCUCUUUGAAGCUCUCGCUAUUAGAUGAGCCUGCGUAAGAUUAGCUUGUUGGUGGGGUAAUGGCCUACCAAGGCGACGAUCUUUAGCUGGUCUGAGAGGAUGAUCAGUCACACUGGAACUGAGACACGGUCCAGACUCCUACGGGAGGCAGCAGUCGGGAAUAUUGGACAAUGGGGGGAACCCUGAUCCAGCCAUGCCGCGUGUGUGAAGAAGGCUCUAGGGUUGUAAAGCACUUUUAGUAAGGAGGAAGGCUCAGUAGUUAAUACCUGCUGGGAUUGACGUUACUUACAGAAAAAGCACCGGCUAAUUUCGUGCCAGCAGCCGCGGUAAUACGAAAGGUGCAAGCGUUAAUCGGAAUUACUGGGCGUAAAGCGCGCGUAGGCGGCUUAGUAAGUUAGAUGUGAAAGCCCCGGGCUCAACCUGGGAACUGCAUCUAAAACUGCUAGGCUAGAGUAUGGUAGAGGAUGGCGGAAUUUCCUGUGUAGCGGUGAAAUGCGUAGAUAUAGGAAGGAACAUCAGUGGCGAAGGCGGCCAUCUGGACCAAUACUGACGCUGAGGUGCGAAAGCGUGGGGAGCAAACAGGAUUAGAUACCCUGGUAGUCCACGCCGUAAACGAUGAGAACUAGCCGUUGGACAUCUUGCAUGUUUAGUGGCGCAGCUAACGCGAUAAGUUCUCCGCCUGGGGAGUACGGGCCGCAGGUUAAAACUCAAAUGAUUUGACGGGGGCCGCACAGCGGUGGAGCAUGUGGUUUAUUCGACCCAACGCGAAAACCUUAACUACCCUUGACACCCUCGAACUUUCUAAAAUUGAUUGGUGCCUUCGGGAACCGAGGGACGGGGGUGCUGGCUGGUCUCACCUCGGUCGGGGAAGGUGGGUUAAGUCCCGAACGAGGCCACCUUUAUCCUAUUUGCCGGGGUCCGGCCGGAACCUUAGGAAACGGCCAAAAAAAAUGGAGGAAGGGGGGGA
This 1122-nucleotide ribosomal RNA is filed under the name uncultured bacterium. RNAcentral's name for it is "bacterial SSU rRNA". It matches the Rfam family "Bacterial small subunit ribosomal RNA", at positions 47 to 1179 of the family's 1533-position model. The record is from RNAcentral.